RNAcentral lists this ribosomal RNA (491 nucleotides) under uncultured bacterium. Its description in RNAcentral is "partial 16S ribosomal RNA". It matches the Rfam family "Bacterial small subunit ribosomal RNA", at positions 29 to 507 of the family's 1533-position model. The record is from RNAcentral.
GUGAACGCUGGCGGUAGGCCUAACACAUGCAAGUCGAACGGCAGCACAGUAAGAGCUUGCUCUUACGGGUGGCGAGUGGCGGACGGGUGAGGAAUACAUCGGAAUCUACUUUUUCGUGGGGGAUAACGUAGGGAAACUUACGCUAAUACCGCAUACGACCUACGGGUGAAAGCAGGGGAUCUUCGGACCUUGCGCGAUUGAAUGAGCCGAUGUCGGAUUAGCUAGUUGGCGGGGUAAAGGCCCACCAAGGCGACGAUCCGUAGCUGGUCUGAGAGGAUGAUCAGCCACACUGGAAGUGAGACACGGUCCAGACUCCUACGGGAGGCAGCAGUGGGGAAUAUUGGACAAUAGGCGCAAGCCUGAUCCAGCCAGACCGCGUGGGUGAAGAAGGCCUUCGGGUUGUAAAGCCCUUUUGUUGGGAAAGAAAAGCAGCAGGUUAAUACCCCGCUGUUCUGACGGUACCAAAAGAAUAAGCACCGGCUAACUUCGUG